This 124-nucleotide small RNA is filed under the name Marmota monax (woodchuck). The record is from RNAcentral. Lineage: Eukaryota; Metazoa; Chordata; Mammalia; Rodentia; Sciuridae.
GCCUGGCGUGGUGGUGCACGCCUGUAAUCCCAGCAGCUCAGGAGGCUGAGACAGGAGGAUUGCGAGAUCAAAGCCAGCCUCAGCAACGUGAGACACUAAGCAACUCAGGGAGACCCUGUCUCUA